AGAGUUUGAUCCUGGCUCAGGAUGAACGCUAGCUACAGGCUUAACACAUGCAAGUCGAGGGGCAUCAGGAAGAAAGCUUGCUUUCUUUGCUGGCGACCGGCGCACGGGUGAGUAACACGUAUCCAACCUGCCCUUUACUCGGGGAUAGCCUUUCGAAAGAAAGAUUAAUACCCGAUGGCAUAAUGAUUCCGCAUGGUUUCAUUAUUAAAGGAUUCCGGUAAAGGAUGGGGAUGCGUUCCAUUAGGUUGUUGGUGAGGUAACGGCUCACCAAGCCUUCGAUGGAUAGGGGUUCUGAGAGGAAGGUCCCCCACAUUGGAACUGAGACACGGUCCAAACUCCUACGGGAGGCAGCAGUGAGGAAUAUUGGUCAAUGGGCGGUAGCCUGAACCAGCCAAGUAGCGUGAAGGAUGAAGGCUCUAUGGGUCGUAAACUUCUUUUAUAUAAGAAUAAAGUGCAGUAUGUAUACUGUUUUGUAUGUAUUAUAUGAAUAAGGAUCGGCUAACUCCGUGCCAGCAGCCGCGGUAAUACGGAGGAUCCGAGCGUUAUCCGGAUUUAUUGGGUUUAAAGGGAGCGUAGGUGGACUGGUAAGUCAGUUGUGAAAGUUUGCGGCUCAACCGUAAAAUUGCAGUUGAUACUGUCAGUCUUGAGUACAGUAGAGGUGGGCGGAAUUCGUGGUGUAGCGGUGAAAUGCUUAGAUAUCACGAAGAACUCCGAUUGCGAAGGCAGCUCACUGGACUGCAACUGACACUGAUGCUCGAAAGUGUGGGUAUCAAACAGGAUUAGAUACCCUGGUAGUCCACACAGUAAACGAUGAAUACUCGCUGUUUGCGAUAUACAGUAAGCGGCCAAGCGAAAGCAUUAAGUAUUCCACCUGGGGAGUACGCCGGCAACGGUGAAACUCAAAGGAAUUGACGGGGGCCCGCACAAGCGGAGGAACAUGUGGUUUAAUUCGAUGAUACGCGAGGAACCUUACCCGGGCUUAAAUUGCAGUGGAAUGAUGUGGAAACAUGUCAGUGAGCAAUCACCGCUGUGAAGGUGCUGCAUGGUUGUCGUCAGCUCGUGCCGUGAGGUGUCGGCUUAAGUGCCAUAACGAGCGCAACCCUUAUCUUCAGUUACUAACAGGUCAUGCUGAGGACUCUGGAGAGACUGCCGUCGUAAGAUGUGAGGAAGGUGGGGAUGACGUCAAAUCAGCACGGCCCUUACGUCCGGGGCUACACACGUGUUACAAUGGGGGGUACAGAAGGCAGCUAGCGGGUGACCGUAUGCUAAUCCCAAAAUCCUCUCUCAGUUCGGAUCGAAGUCUGCAACCCGACUUCGUGAAGCUGGAUUCGCUAGUAAUCGCGCAUCAGCCACGGCGCGGUGAAUACGUUCCCGGGCCUUGUACACACCGCCCGUCAAGCCAUGGGAGCCGGGGGUACCUGAAGUACGUAACCGCAAGGAUCGUCCUAGGGUAAAACUGGUGACUGGGGCUAAGUCGUAACAAGGUAGCCGUACCGGAAGGUGCGGCUGGAACACCU
RNAcentral lists this ribosomal RNA (1517 nucleotides) under Bacteroides fragilis. RNAcentral describes it as "bacterial SSU rRNA". It matches the Rfam family "Bacterial small subunit ribosomal RNA". The record is from RNAcentral. Lineage: Bacteria; Pseudomonadati; Bacteroidota; Bacteroidia; Bacteroidales; Bacteroidaceae.